GAUGAACGCUGGCGGCGUGCCUAAUACAUGCAAGUCGAGCGAAGCGGGGACGGGUGAGUAACACGUGGAUAACCUCCUAUAAGACUGGGUUAACUUCGGGACACCGGACUUAUACCCGUCACUUAUAGCUUGAUCCGCGCUGCAUUAGCUAGUUGGUAAGGUAACGGCUUACCAAGGCAACGAUGAAUAGCCGACCUGAGAGGGGGAUCGGCAACACUGGAACUGAGACACGGUCCAGACUCCUAAGGGAGGCAGCAGUAGGGAAUCUUCCGCAAUGGGCGAAAGCCUGACGGAGCAACGCCGCGUGAGUGAUGAAGGUCUUCGGAUCGUAAAACACUGUUAUUAGGGAAGCGGUACCUAAUCAGAAAGCCACGGCUAACUACGUGCCAGCAGCCGCGGUAAUUC
This 405-nucleotide ribosomal RNA is filed under the name uncultured bacterium. RNAcentral describes it as "partial 16S ribosomal RNA". It matches the Rfam family "Bacterial small subunit ribosomal RNA", at positions 28 to 526 of the family's 1533-position model. The record is from RNAcentral.